CAUAGGUUAAUGAGGCGAACCGGGGGAACUGAAACAUCUAAGUACCCCGAGGAAAAGAAAUCAACCGAGAUUCCCCCAGUAGCGGCGAGCGAACGGGGAGCAGCCCAGAGCCUGAAUCAGUGUGUGUGUUAGUGGAAGCGUCUGGAAAGGCGCGCGAUACAGGGUGACAGCCCCGUACACAAAAAUGCACAUACUGUGAGCUCGAUGAGUAGGGCGGGACACGUGGUAUCCUGUCUGAAUAUGGGGGGACCAUCCUCCAAGGCUAAAUACUCCUGACUGACCGAUAGUGAACCAGUACCGUGAGGGAAAGGCGAAAAGAACCCCGGCGAGGGGAGUGAAAAAGAACCUGAAACCGUGUACGUACAAGCAGUGGGAGCACGCUUAGGCGUGUGACUGCGUACCUUUUGUAUAAUGGGUCAGCGACUUAUAUUCUGUAGCAAGGUUAACCGAAUAGGGGAGCCGAAGGGAAACCGAGUCUUAACUGGGCGUUAAGUUGCAGGGUAUAGACCCGAAACCCGGUGAUCUAGCCAUGGGCAGGUUGAAGGUUGGGUAACACUAACUGGAGGACCGAACCGACUAAUGUUGAAAAAUUAGCGGAUGACUUGUGGCUGGGGGUGAAAGGCCAAUCAAACCGGGAGAUAGCUGGUUCUCCCCGAAAGCUAUUUAGGUAGCGCCUCGUGAAUUCAUCUCCGGGGGUAGAGCACUGUUUCGGCAAGGGGGUCAUCCCGACUUACCAACCCGAUGCAAACUGCGAAUACCGGAGAAUGUUAUCACGGGAGACACACGGCGGGUGCUAACGUCCGUCGUGAAGAGGGAAACAACCCAGACCGCCAGCUAAGGUCCCAAAGUCAUGGUUAAGUGGGAAACGAUGUGGGAAGGCCCAGACAGCCAGGAUGUUGGCUUAGAAGCAGCCAUCAUUUAAAGAAAGCGUAAUAGCUCACUGGUCGAGUCGGCCUGCGCGGAAGAUGUAACGGGGCUAAACCAUGCACCGAAGCUGCGGCAGCGACGCUGAUGCGUUGUUGGGUAGGGGAGCGUUCUGUAAGCCUGUGAAGGUGUGCUGUGAGGCAUGCUGGAGGUAUCAGAAGUGCGAAUGCUGACAUAAGUAACGAUAAAGCGGGUGAAAAGCCCGCUCGCCGGAAGACCAAGGGUUCCUGUCCAACGUUAAUCGGGGCAGGGUGAGUCGACCCCUAAGGCGAGGCCGAAAGGCGUAGUCGAUGGGAAACAGGUUAAUAUUCCUGUACUUGGUGUUACUGCGAAGGGGGGACGGAGAAGGCUAUGUUGGCCGGGCGACGGUUGUCCCGGUUUAAGCGUGUAGGCUGGUUUUCCAGGCAAAU
RNAcentral lists this ribosomal RNA (1334 nucleotides) under Escherichia coli. Its description in RNAcentral is "partial 23S ribosomal RNA". It matches the Rfam family "Bacterial large subunit ribosomal RNA", at positions 165 to 1541 of the family's 2925-position model. The record is from RNAcentral. Lineage: Bacteria; Pseudomonadati; Pseudomonadota; Gammaproteobacteria; Enterobacterales; Enterobacteriaceae.